AGCCAAGUGGCGGAACUGGUAUACGCGCGACGCUCAGAACGUCGUGUCCGCAAGGAUAUGCGAGUUCAACUCUCGCCUUGGCUAC
RNAcentral lists this transfer RNA (85 nucleotides) under Rubinisphaera italica. RNAcentral's name for it is "Planctomycetes bacterium Pan54 tRNA-Ser". It matches the Rfam family "tRNA". Rfam says of the family: Transfer RNA (tRNA) molecules are approximately 80 nucleotides in length. Their secondary structure includes four short double-helical elements and three loops (D, anti-codon, and T loops). Lineage: Bacteria; Pseudomonadati; Planctomycetota; Planctomycetia; Planctomycetales; Planctomycetaceae. The record is from RNAcentral.